This is a long non-coding RNA of Bicyclus anynana (squinting bush brown), 574 nucleotides long. RefSeq lists it as uncharacterized. NCBI's taxonomy places the organism in Eukaryota, Metazoa, Arthropoda, Insecta, Lepidoptera, Nymphalidae. The record is from RefSeq and is a predicted model, not a curated record. The transcript has 3 exons.
GGUGACGUCGCUAUUGGCGGCGAAUUUCCAGUCAGCCAGUAAUAAAAACUCACACUACGUCACCGGCCAACAGGAAAGUUUAUUCAGUAGCUUCGAGUGCGAGCAGCGACGUAGUGUUUCGAAACGGACCUUUCUCUACAUAUCUACGUAAUCAACCAUGGCUGACAGCGAACGCGUCGUCUCCCCGAAGGAAGUUGAGAUACAGGUCCAAGUAUCCGACGAGACCAAAGAAACGACAACCACUUCGAAAGAAACAAAAACAGUGACCCAAAAAACGAGCACGGUCCAAGCGUCGCAAAACCGUAAGCCGUCAGAAAAAAACGCUUGAUGGAGUUUGCCGAAAAGUUGUCAAUUGAAGAAAAAUCUACCUUGUUAUGAUUGUUUUAAGAUUUAAUUUUCAACUGCAUUUCUCAAUUAUUAAAAACAUUCGAAUGUAAAUUAAUUAAAUUAAUAAUCACUUAAUUAUAAAAAAUAUUCAAAAUUUACUGUUCAGCAGAACAUAUUGUUGGUAUUGUUUGUUUGAAUUAUUAAUUUCGAUUGUAUGUUGUGAAAAUAAAAUGUAAGAUUGUCUUUA